RNAcentral lists this ribosomal RNA (484 nucleotides) under uncultured bacterium. RNAcentral's name for it is "partial 16S ribosomal RNA". It matches the Rfam family "Bacterial small subunit ribosomal RNA", at positions 28 to 507 of the family's 1533-position model. The record is from RNAcentral.
AUUGAACGCUGGCGGCAUGCUUUACACAUGCAAGUCGAACGGCAGCGCGGGCUUCGGCCUGGCGGCGAGUGGCGAACGGGUGAGUAAUGCAUCGGAACGUGCCCAGUAGUGGGGGAUAGCCCGGCGAAAGCCGGAUUAAUACCGCAUACGACCUGAGGGUGAAAGCGGGGGACCGAAAGGCCUCGCGCUAUUGGAGCGGCCGAUGUCGGAUUAGCUAGUUGGUGGGGUAAAGGCUUACCAAGGCGUCGAUCCGUAGCUGGUCUGAGAGGACGACCAGCCACACUGGGACUGAGACACGGCCCAGACUCCUACGGGAGGCAGCAGUGGGGAAUUUUGGACAAUGGGGGCAACCCUGAUCCAGCCAUGCCGCGUGCGGGAAGAAGGCCUUCGGGUUGUAAACCGCUUUUGUUCGGGAAGAAAUCCUCUGGGCUAAUACCCCGGGGGGAUGACGGUACCGGAAGAAUAAGCACCGGCUAACUACGUG